Long non-coding RNA from Megalops cyprinoides (Indo-Pacific tarpon), 445 nucleotides. RefSeq lists it as uncharacterized. The record is from RefSeq and is a predicted model, not a curated record. The transcript has 3 exons. NCBI's taxonomy places the organism in Eukaryota, Metazoa, Chordata, Actinopteri, Elopiformes, Megalopidae.
UGCGACACUAGUCAUGCUAAUUGUUUGCCGUGGGAUCCCUUUAAAAGCCCGGCACUGCUGCAGCCAGGGCCAAACACUUGAAAUAUUGCCCUUAUCGUGCGUCGCAGUGUGCCGUAUUUGGGGUACCACUCAAUCGGUGGGUGCGCGUCCUUGUUUAAGUUACCGGCUGCUUUGCUGUGUUGCGGUGUCAGCACUUAGCAACGGGAGUUCACCUCUCUUCGUCUUCGGCCGUGGUGGGUCGCUUACCGGAAGUACACAAGAUCAAGGCUGCAUUUUGGUCACCGGCUGCUGUUUUGUCAUCAAUAACCCUUUUAGUUUUAUGACUCUUAUUUAGCGAAUGCUCUAUCGCGGCGGCACCGUACGAGGGUGGCCGGAGCAUCUGAGUGGUAACGUGUGAUCGUGUGUGUUGGUGCGUGUGUGCGUGCAGGUGAUUGUGUGAGUUAGC